UACGUAGGGGGCGAGCGUUGUCCGGAUUUAUUGGGCGUAAAGAGCGCGUAGGCGGCCAGGUAGGUCCGACGUGAAAUCUCGAGGCUCAACCUCGAGCGGUCGUUGGAUACCGCCUGGCUAGAGUCCGGAAGAGGAGAGUGGAAUUCCUGGUGUAGCGGUGAAAUGCGCAGAUAUCAGGAAGAACACCCAUGGCGAAAGCAGCUCUCUGGGACGGUACUGACGCUGAGGCGCGAAAGCGUGGGGAGCGAACAGG
This 253-nucleotide non-coding RNA is filed under the name uncultured bacterium. RNAcentral's name for it is "partial 16S ribosomal RNA". It matches the Rfam family "Bacterial small subunit ribosomal RNA", at positions 524 to 776 of the family's 1533-position model. RNAcentral also lists the same sequence under 2 other names. The record is from RNAcentral.